UUUAGCCAUACCACCCUGAAGGUGCCUCAUCUCGGAAGCUAAGCAGGGUCGGGCCUGGUUAGUACUUGGAUGGGAGAUUAUUUUAUUAAUCUAGUAGUUUCCAUAU
Microcebus murinus (gray mouse lemur) is the source of this 106-nucleotide ribosomal RNA. The record is from Ensembl. Lineage: Eukaryota; Metazoa; Chordata; Mammalia; Primates; Cheirogaleidae.